Molecule: ribosomal RNA, 439 nt
Filed under: uncultured bacterium
Lineage: Bacteria
Description: partial 16S ribosomal RNA
Rfam family: Bacterial small subunit ribosomal RNA
Source: RNAcentral
CUACGGGCGGCAGCAGUGAGGAAUAUUGCACAAUGGGGGGAACCCUGAUGCAGCAAUGCCGCGUGGAGGAUGACGCAUUUCGGUGUGUAAACUCCUUUUAUAUGUCAAGAAAAUGACGGUAGCAUAUGAAUAAGCACCGGCUAACUCCGUGCCAGCAGCCGCGGUAAUACGGAGGGUGCAAGCGUUACUCGGAAUCACUGGGCGUAAAGGACGCGUAGGCGGGUUGGAAAGCCAGGUGUGAAAUCCUACAGCUUAACUGUAGAACUGCACUUGAAACUUCUAAUCUAGAGUAUGGGAGGGGGAGAUGGAAUUAGUGGUGUAGGGGUAAAAUCCGUAGAUAUCACUAGGAAUACCUAAAGCGAAGGCGAUCUCCUGGAACAUUACUGACGCUAAGGCGUGAAAGCGUGGGGAGCAAACAGGAUUAGAUACCCUAGUAGUC